CGGGGUGUAGCGCAGUCUGGUAGCGCACUUGUCUGGGGGACAAGUGGUCGCUGGUUCAAAUCCAGCCACUCCGACCA
Molecule: transfer RNA, 77 nt
Filed under: Desulfobacteraceae bacterium 4572_130
Lineage: Bacteria; Pseudomonadati; Thermodesulfobacteriota; Desulfobacteria; Desulfobacterales; Desulfobacteraceae
Also listed under: 1 other name
Description: tRNA-Pro
Rfam family: tRNA
About the family: Transfer RNA (tRNA) molecules are approximately 80 nucleotides in length. Their secondary structure includes four short double-helical elements and three loops (D, anti-codon, and T loops). Further hydrogen bonds mediate the characteristic L-shaped molecular structure. tRNAs have two regions of fundamental functional importance: the anti-codon, which is responsible for specific mRNA codon recognition, and the 3' end, to which the tRNAs corresponding amino acid is attached (by aminoacyl-tRNA synthetases). tRNAs cope with the degeneracy of the genetic code in two manners: having more than one tRNA (with a specific anti-codon) for a particular amino acid; and 'wobble' base-pairing, i.e. permitting non-standard base-pairing at the 3rd anti-codon position.
Source: RNAcentral